RNAcentral lists this ribosomal RNA (455 nucleotides) under uncultured organism. Its description in RNAcentral is "partial 16S ribosomal RNA". It matches the Rfam family "Bacterial small subunit ribosomal RNA", at positions 330 to 801 of the family's 1533-position model. The record is from RNAcentral.
CGUACACUCCUGCGGGAGGCAGCAGUGGGGAAUAUUGGACAAUGGGCGCAAGCCUGAUCCAGCCAUGCCGCGUGAGUGAUGAAGGCCCUAGGGUUGUAAAGCUCUUUCACCGGUGAAGAUAAUGACGGUAACCGGAGAAGAAGCCCCGGCUAACUUCGUGCCAGCAGCCGCGGUAAUACGAAGGGGGCUAGCGUUGUCCGGAUUUACUGGGCGUAAAGCGAACGUAGGCGGACUAUUAAGUCAGGGGUGAAAUCCCGGGGCUCAACCCCGGAACUGCCUUUGAUACUGGUAGUCUUGAGUUCGAGAGAGGUGAGUGGAAUUCCGAGUGUAGAGGUGAAAUUCGUAGAUAUUCGGAGGAACACCAGUGGCGAAGGCGGCUCACUGGCUCGAUACUGACGCUGAGGUGCGAAAGCGUGGGGAGCAAACAGGAUUAGAAACCCUUGUAGUCCCAUGAU